RNAcentral lists this unclassified non-coding RNA (272 nucleotides) under uncultured fungus. RNAcentral's name for it is "partial contains small subunit ribosomal RNA, internal transcribed spacer 1, and 5.8S ribosomal RNA". The stretch from base 1 to 73 matches the Rfam family "Eukaryotic small subunit ribosomal RNA", at positions 1759 to 1831 of the family's 1831-position model. Lineage: Eukaryota; Fungi. The record is from RNAcentral.
GCAAACUUGGUCAUUUAGAGGAAGUAAAAGUCGUAACAAGGUUUCCGUAGGUGAACCUGCGGAAGGAUCAUUACCGAGUGAGGGUUCCCUCGUGGGCCCAACCUCCCACCCGUGUCUAUCGUACCUCUGUUGCUUCGGCGCGGCCAAAGUGCCCGCCGAAGACCCCUCUCGAACGCUGUCUUUUGAAGGAUUGCAGUCUGAGUUGAUUUGAAAAAUCAGUCAAAACUUUCAACAACGGAUCUCUUGGUUCCGGCAUCGAUGAAGAACGCAGC